RNAcentral lists this ribosomal RNA (425 nucleotides) under uncultured bacterium. RNAcentral's name for it is "bacterial SSU rRNA". It matches the Rfam family "Bacterial small subunit ribosomal RNA", at positions 355 to 776 of the family's 1533-position model. The record is from RNAcentral.
UGGGGAAUAUUGCACAAUGGGCGCAAGCCUGAUGCAGCCAUGCCGCGUGUAUGAAGAAGGCCUUCGGGUUGUAAACUGCUUUUAGUCGGGAAUAAAAGGGGGUUCGUGAACCCCGUAUUGUAUGUACCGUCAGAAAAAGGACCGGCUAAUUCCGUGCCAGCAGCCGCGGUAAUACGGAAGGUCCGGGCGUUAUCCGGAUUUAUUGGGUUUAAAGGGAGCGUAGGCGGGCCGUUAAGUCAGUUGUGAAAGUUCGGGGCUCAACCCCGGAAUUGCAGUUGAAACUGCCGGUCUUGAGUACACGCAGGGAAGCCUGAAUUCAUGGUGUAGCGGUGAAAUGCUUAGAUAUCAUGAAGACGACCGAUUGCGAAGGCAGCUCACUGGACUGCAACUGACACUGAGGCUCGAAAGUGUGGGUAUCAAACAGG